AUGGGGCCUCCUCCGAAGAAGCUGGUCUACAGCUUCGUGGGGCGCGGCACCACGGUGCUGGCCGACCACGCCGAGGCCUCCGGCAACUUCGCCUCCGUCGCCGCGCAGUGCCUCCAGAAGCUCCCGCCCAACAACAACCGGCUCAGCUACAACUGCGACGGCCACACCUUCAACUACCACAUCCACGAUGGAUUCACAUAUUGUGUUGUUGCUACCGAGUCUGCUGGUCGGCAACUUCCAAUCGGCUUCAUUGAGAGGGUUAAGGAGGAUUUCGCCAAGAAAUACAGCGGAGGAAAAGCCAAAACCGCUGGUCCCAAUAGCCUCAAACGAGAAUUUGGGCCUAAGCUUAAAGAACACAUGAAGUACUGUGACCUGCACCCUGAGGAAAUUGACAAGCUUGCAAAGGUGAAGGCUCAGGUUUCAGAGGUGAAAGGAGUAAUGAUGCAAAACAUCGAAAAGGUACUAGAUCGUGGUGAGAAAAUCGAACUGCUUGUCGAUAAGACCGAGGAUCUCCGCUCACAGGCACAAGAUUUCAAGAAGCAAGGAACAAAGAUACGGCAGAAGAUGUGGUGGGAGAACAUGAAGAUAAAGCUCAUCGCUUUUGGCAUCAUUGUCUUGCUGAUCCUCUGCAUCAUCUUGACAGUUUGCCGCGACUUCAAAUGCUGGUGA
RNAcentral lists this ribosomal RNA (669 nucleotides) under Triticum aestivum (bread wheat). Its description in RNAcentral is "partial small subunit ribosomal RNA". Lineage: Eukaryota; Viridiplantae; Streptophyta; Magnoliopsida; Poales; Poaceae. The record is from RNAcentral.